RNAcentral lists this ribosomal RNA (394 nucleotides) under uncultured bacterium. Its description in RNAcentral is "bacterial SSU rRNA". It matches the Rfam family "Bacterial small subunit ribosomal RNA", at positions 28 to 408 of the family's 1533-position model. The record is from RNAcentral.
GACGAACGCUGGCGGCGUGCUUAACACAUGCAAGUCGAGCGGGAUCCAACCGGUGGCAACACCGGGGAAGAUCUAGCGGCGAACGGGUGAGUAACACGUGAGCAACCUGCCCCGAAGACUGGGAGUAACACCGGGAAACCGGGUGCUAAUACCGGAUGUCGUCAUUAGGCCGCAUGACCUGAUGAUGAAAGGAAUUCAUCGCUUCGGGAGGGGGCUCGCGGGCUAUCAGCUUGNGGGUGGGGUAACGGGCCUACCAAGGCGACGACGGCUAGCUGGUCUGAGAGGACGACCAGCCACACUGGGACUGAGACACGGCCCAGACUCCUACGGGAGGCAGCAGUGGGGAAUCUUGCGCAAUGGGCGAAAGCCUGACGCAGCAACGCCGCGUGGGGGA